CGAACCGGGGGAAGUGAAACAUCUCAGUACCCCGAGGAAAAGACAUCAAAUGAGAUUCCCUAAGUAGCGGCGAGCGAACGGGGAUGAGCCCAAAAGUUGCGAAGGUUCUAGUGGAAGUCUCUGGGAAGGGACAGCAUAGAGGGUGAUACUCCCGUACACGACGGGGCCUUCGUGAUGAGCGUGAGUAGGGCGGGACACGUGAUAUCCUGUCUGAAGAUGGGGGGACCAUCCUCCAAGGCUA
RNAcentral lists this ribosomal RNA (241 nucleotides) under Cyclophora tenuis. Its description in RNAcentral is "partial Bacterial large subunit ribosomal RNA". It matches the Rfam family "Bacterial large subunit ribosomal RNA", at positions 180 to 468 of the family's 2925-position model. The record is from RNAcentral. Lineage: Eukaryota; Bacillariophyta; Fragilariophyceae; Cyclophorales; Cyclophoraceae.